RNAcentral lists this ribosomal RNA (393 nucleotides) under uncultured bacterium. Its description in RNAcentral is "partial 16S ribosomal RNA". It matches the Rfam family "Bacterial small subunit ribosomal RNA", at positions 523 to 918 of the family's 1533-position model. The record is from RNAcentral.
AUACGGAAGGUCCGGGCGUUAUCCGGAUUUAUUGGGUUUAAAGGGAGCGCAGGCGGAGAUGCAAGCGUGACGUCAAAUUUCGGGGCUCAACCCCGUCUCGCGUCGCGAACUGCGUCCCUUGGUUGCGGGAAGGGGAGGCGGAACUCGUGGUGGAGCGGGGAAAUGCAUAGAUAUCACGAAGAACUCCGAUCGCGAAGGCAGCCUUCCGGCCCGUCAACGACGCUCAUGCUCGAAGGUGCGGGUAUCAAACAGGAUUAGAUACCCUGGUAGUCCGCACAGUAAACGAUGGACACCCGCGGUUUGGCCUGUAUGGCUGAGCCGCCAAGCGAAAGCGUUAAGUGUCCCACCUGGGGAGUACGCCGGCAACGGUGAAACUCAAAGGAAUUGGCGGGG